UGAGGAGCAGCCUAAAGAAAGGGAGCAUGGGCAAAAGAAUAUUCCCAAUUUUGCACGUUAUUUUGUAUUUGGUGAGGAAUCAGGUGUGUCACCUACUUGCAGUUACAGAGUUGGAGAUACUGUAAGGACACUUGCAUUUGAGUGAAAUCAAAAGUUGUCCAGACAUAAGCUAUUCUUCUUUACCCAUGUAGCAGUGCCCUGAACACUUCCACCACUGUACUUUCUGUGUGUUCUCUUGUUGCCUUUCCUUGGCAUUGCUGUAAGAAGUGGUAAAAUAUUCACUACAUUUAGGUUACAGAAGUCUACACCCAGAGGAUAAAAACGACUUCUUUAAGGUCAAUGACUAGUUUUUAUUUCUCUGUGGUUCAAUCUCAUGAGAACAUUAUUAGGUACACAGAACAUUCGAUUAAAACAUCUAGUAUUUUGCACCAAUAUGCAUGAUUCUUGUUGAUAUAAAAUAGUUAAAAUGAACUUCAUGGAGCACCGUCAUGACUUAUUAUUACCAGCGGGAAGCAAGCCAGGGUUAACACCCUCCCUGUCUAGUGAAUACAGCACACUGAUGGGUCUUGACUCUUUAUCUAACUUGCCAGAGUGAACAGGCAACCUACAACAUGGGAGAAAAUUUUUGCAACCUACUCAUCUGACAAAGGGCUAAUAUCCAGAAUCUACAAUGAACUCAAACAAAUUUACAAGAAAAAAACAAACAACCCCAUCAAAAAGUGGGCGAAGGACAUGAACAGACACUUCUCAAAAGAAGACAUUUAUGCAGCCAAAAAACACAUGAAGAAAUGCUCAUCAUCACUGGCCAUCAGAGAAAUGCAAAUCAAAACCACUAUGAGAUAUCAUCUCACACCAGUUAGAAUGGCAAUCAUUAAAAAGUCAGGAAACAACAGGUGCUGGAGAGGAUGCGGAGAAAUAGGAACACUUUUACACUGUUGGUGGGACUGUAAACUAGUUCAACCAUUGUGGAAGUCAGUGUGGCGAUUCCUCAGGGAUCUAGAACUAGAAAUACCAUUUGACCCAGCCAUCCCAUUACUGGGUAUAUACCCAAAUGAGUAUAAAUCAUGCUGCUAUGAAGACACAUGCACACGUAUGUUUAUUGCGGCACU
This 1109-nucleotide long non-coding RNA is filed under the name Homo sapiens (human). RNAcentral describes it as "non-protein coding lnc-RASGRP3-14:1". The record is from RNAcentral. Lineage: Eukaryota; Metazoa; Chordata; Mammalia; Primates; Hominidae.